RNAcentral lists this ribosomal RNA (253 nucleotides) under uncultured prokaryote. RNAcentral describes it as "partial 16S ribosomal RNA". It matches the Rfam family "Bacterial small subunit ribosomal RNA", at positions 524 to 776 of the family's 1533-position model. The record is from RNAcentral.
UACGAAGGGUGCAAGCGUUAAUCGGAAUUACUGGGCGUAAAGCGCGCGUAGGUGGUUCAGUAAGUCAGGAGUGAAAGCCCCGGGCUUAACCUGGGAAUUGCUUCUAAAACUGCUGAGCUAGAGUACGGUAGAGGGUGGUGGAAUUUCCUGUGUAGCGGUGAAAUGCGUAGAUAUAGGAAGGAACAUCAGUGGCGAAGGCGACCACCUGGACUGAUACUGACACUGAGGUGCGAAAGCGUGGGGAGCAAACAGG